Ictidomys tridecemlineatus (thirteen-lined ground squirrel) is the source of this 69-nucleotide non-coding RNA. The record is from Rfam. NCBI's taxonomy places the organism in Eukaryota, Metazoa, Chordata, Mammalia, Rodentia, Sciuridae.
GGGGUUGUGGCUCACUGGUAGAGCACUUGCCUUGCAUGCAUGGGGCAUUGGAUUUGAUACUCAGCACCA